GGCAGGGAAAGGGGGGCGGCUCGGGGUGGGGGAAGCCCUGGUCCCUCGGUGGGAAUUGCUCAGAUCCCCGUCCCUUUCCCAGCCCCGCCGCGGCAACAUUUAUUGCAAAAGCAGGAAAUUGCUUAUUACUAAACUAGCUGGCAAGGGAGCAGAGCCGAUGCUGUUCCACACUGGCACAGCACUUGCUUAGCUGCUGCUUCCCCUGCCUCUCCUUGUUCCGCUCUUUCUUCUUCUUCUUUCCCCUCUUUCUCUCCUCUCUCCCUCGCUCUCUCUUCUUUUUUUCAUUUUGGCUUCUAUUCAAAUGUGGGUCAGGGGUGAGCGGCUCCCAACGUCACAAGCUUGCAAGAUGGCGCUGGGAGGAAGGCUGUGAGAUGAGGAACAGGCUGGUAUAAACCGAGAGGACAGGAGAGGGAGAGGAGGAGAGGGGAAAGGGAAGAAAAGCUGCUGCUCCAGAUGCAAUAAGAAGGGAGCUAUUCUGUUCUGAAUCAGCAUGGGAUAGAGUGCCUAGAAGACGUUCAGACCAAGCUCAGCUAGCGCGUCCCUGCUGGUUCUCCAUUCUGCAUCCGUGCAGCCACGUUCUAUUGAUGGCCUGUUGUGAUUUCAAUGGAACAUCAUGGGAUGUACCUGGCACGUCGGGCAGCACUGGAUGGAGGUGCCUUUAGCCCAAUGUACCUGGCAUGUACUGUUAACUCACUGUUCAGGUGCUUGGUGUCUAGCCUUCUCAUCCAGCCACAAAUCCUCUACGUGAAAUGAGUGAUUCCUUAGAUCUGUUUAUGAUUGAUUCUUUGCUUCACUGGUGUUGCUUCUUAAAAGGUAAACAAUAUUCAUGUGCUGCAAUCUAUAACUCAGAGAUGAAAUCAAAGAGCAUCUCCUGCCAGAAGUUGCUAAGAUAACACAUUUAGCAUUCAUUCAGCAAUUACUUUUGGAUAGAGAUUUAGCGAUAUUAAAGAGAAUCAAACCUGUAGUGAAUAUGUAGAUUUUAUACUGGUGAGAGAGGUGAAGGGAUUUCUCUUCUCCUCUGUUUAGCAAUUUCAUUUUCUGUGGUGUCCAGAGUC
Molecule: long non-coding RNA, 1055 nt
Filed under: Junco hyemalis (dark-eyed junco)
Lineage: Eukaryota; Metazoa; Chordata; Aves; Passeriformes; Passerellidae
Description: lncRNA (ENSJHYG00000014454.1)
Source: RNAcentral